UCCGUCAACGGUAAAUGUCUGACUGGAACGAAGUGGAAGGAAUUUAAGGAGUUGACGGGUUGCUCUCA
Molecule: small RNA, 68 nt
Filed under: Scopulibacillus darangshiensis
Lineage: Bacteria; Bacillati; Bacillota; Bacilli; Caryophanales; Sporolactobacillaceae
Description: Bacillus-plasmid RNA
Rfam family: Bacillus-plasmid RNA
Source: Rfam by way of RNAcentral